Molecule: long non-coding RNA, 2533 nt
Filed under: Amborella trichopoda
Lineage: Eukaryota; Viridiplantae; Streptophyta; Magnoliopsida; Amborellales; Amborellaceae
Description: long non-coding RNA (ATRI_LNC001912)
Source: RNAcentral
ACGUGACGCCAAUAAUUUUUUCUUCCUUCUCUUUACCUGCUGCAGCAAUUCAAUCUCCUUCUCAAUGAUUUUUUUUCUUUUUCUUUACUUUUGCUCUCUCUCUCAUCCCAAUUUUUCCCAGCUCUCGGGUGGGGGUUUGGGGUUUGAAUUUUCAUAAUUUUGGUGAAAGAUUGUGUUUUAAGAUAACUUUAGUUUAUAAUGUAGUAAUUGGCAAAUCAACUUUGAGUUUUUCGUAAAGACAUUUUAGUUCAGAAUUUUAUAACUUAGAACACAGUAAUAUUUAUUAGGUUUUGGAGUCUCUAAUUGUAAAUACGCUUGCUCUAGGAGACUUAUGGGUCCUUUAGUUACCUCAAAAUAUAUUGUUUGAGAAAUACAUUAUUUGUGUAAUACAUUAUUAGAAUCACAUCUCAAUCUGAUAUGAAAUUUACAAAUAAUUCUCGGGUGCGGACUGUUUUCUAAGUUGGUGGCAACCCUAAGUCGAAAAUUUUUCUAUUUAAUCUUUUAUUUAUUUUUUAUAUUUUUAUUUUCCUUCAUUUUGUUUUUCUUGUAUGGUUAAGUUUGUGACAGAUCCAUUUCUUCAUGAUACCAGGUACUUUUAGAUCGCCCGAAGUUAUCAAAUUUGCAUUUUUUACGCUAACCUUUCAACGAAAAUUUACCCCAAAUCUCUGACAUUUAAGUUCUUAACUCGAUUUUUUUGAAAAGGAAUUUGUCUAUUUCAGCUUACCACAAGUGAUGUAAAUAAUAUCUUUUUGUUUUCUGUGUAUAUGUAUUUUGUUUGUGCCUUUCCAAUGAACUGAUGAAAUAAUUGUUUGCUUUUUUAACAAAUUAUAUGUAUUUUGAUGCCUAAUAAUAUUCCAUGGAAAGCGCCUGAAAUUCUCGUCUCAUAAUUUGCGGUUCACCCACGGGAGGUGUCAGAUCGAAAUCUAAUUAAAUGGGUGUCAGAAUUUUAAAAUCUUAAAUUUUUAGUUUUUUAUUUUAUUUUUCAAGAAAGAGAUAUAAGAGACAAAAAAGGGCGGUUUGCUUGCGGUUGUCGAGACCAGACCAACCCCCUUUCUCAACACUUUCCAAAUGACUAUUUAUACCCUCAUCUGUCUCUGCAACUAAAUUGACCAAAAUGCCCCUACAGGUGUCUCAAUGUAACCCUAGUUUCUACUUUGGAACAAGUGGGCUUUAUGAUAGAGUUCUUAAAACUCAGAAUCGCAUGAGUUAGAUCGAAUUGGGUGCCAAAAAAUCUAACCGGAACCCAUAAUCAUCCAAGUUUCCUCAUUCUUGUUAAAAAUUUCAUGCUUUGGCUCAAUAACAGCCCAAGACAAACUAUAAAAAUCAAAAUUGGUCAGUUGACUCAGAAUCGAGCCCACAUUGGUCAAAUGAGGCAAAGGUAAGGGGUGGCAACAUGUCAGGCCUGACCCGAACCUGGAUCAGGACCAAGAACCAAAUGGUAUUCGGGUGUAGAUUUUGGGAUUUGACCAUACCCGGAUUUGAGGUAGGAUCUACCUGUCGGGUCUCGGAUCCGGUCGAAUCCAUUGCCACUUUAGGCAAAGGCCAUAUCUUUGGCCUCAAUUGUCAUUUACUAAAAUGUGAUGGCAGUUACGAAGUUUUAGAACUGGGAGAGGGGGUUCUCUAAUAUUCAAAAUAAACAUUCCGAGGGAACACGUGCUUGCUUUUUGAUGCUGUCUAAAGCCGAGGAUGUCAGUAUAGAUAUCAAUUAAUCGCCACUCUGGGUGACUCCUCGUGCAGGUGUUUCUCUUUUUUUUUUAUUUUUUCGGCCUCAUUAAUUUAAUUUAUUUUUUUAUUUUUUGCCUUGUUUUCAAAGUUAUCAGAGAUUUACUCAAGCUGGGUUAGUCAACAACGCAACCCCAGGCCCUCAUUCAUGACCUUCCAAACACUCAGUUUAAAAAUAAAUGGCGAUUAAUUGUUCUUGUUUUUUUUUUUUGACAAUCAUCUGCUUCCCUUUUUUUCUUUUUUCUUGUUUUUAAUCUUUGGUGUUAGGAUUGUAAUUACGGCUCGACGAGUUUUUAUUGAUGAAUCCCAGGAGUUUAGUCCAAGGCAAGAUGGCAUUCAUGACUUUCCAAACACAGUUGAAAAGAAAUGGCGAUUAAUUGAGUUUUGGAUUUUAAAUUGUAUAGUUUCUCGGCGUUAGGAUGGUGAUUAUGACUCGACGAGUUUUUAGCGAUGAAUCCGAUGAGUCAAAGGGAAGAUGCCAUCAUGAUGUGUGAUUGAUGCCAAUGGGCUAUGAGAGGACUAGACCUGGGUUCUUUUGGCUUUCAAUUCCUCGGCCACUCCUCGGGGACCAUGGAUCGAGGAAUGUUCCGUCAAUUCCUCGGAAAUUAAUCGGGAAAAUGCCGAUAAUGUUUGAAUCGGAGGAGAAAUGGAGAUCAGACGGUACGUGUGGUCACCAUUACACGUGGGAUCCACCGUUUGUAAGAAAGUUUCUCGACUGAUGGAUGGAUUUUGAUGCCCGUGUCGUAGUUUAUGGAUCGUGUGAUCUUUCUUGACCAAUUUAUGGACCGUGUGAUUUUGGACCAAUUUUAUG